Transfer RNA from Conidiobolus coronatus NRRL 28638, 72 nucleotides. It matches the Rfam family "tRNA". Rfam says of the family: Transfer RNA (tRNA) molecules are approximately 80 nucleotides in length. Their secondary structure includes four short double-helical elements and three loops (D, anti-codon, and T loops). Further hydrogen bonds mediate the characteristic L-shaped molecular structure. tRNAs have two regions of fundamental functional importance: the anti-codon, which is responsible for specific mRNA codon recognition, and the 3' end, to which the tRNAs corresponding amino acid is attached (by aminoacyl-tRNA synthetases). tRNAs cope with the degeneracy of the genetic code in two manners: having more than one tRNA (with a specific anti-codon) for a particular amino acid; and 'wobble' base-pairing, i.e. permitting non-standard base-pairing at the 3rd anti-codon position. The record is from Rfam. NCBI's taxonomy places the organism in Eukaryota, Fungi, Entomophthoromycota, Entomophthoromycetes, Entomophthorales, Conidiobolaceae.
UCCGAUAUGGUCCAGUAUCUAAGAUUUUUCGCUCUCACCGAGAGGGCCAGGAUUCGAUUCCCUGUAUCGGAG